AUGUCAUUGAUGGGGCCACAGCCACCUCCCCACCUUCCGACAGUGGAUUUCUUCAUCCAGGUAACUACCCACCUUCUAUUGCAUGCCUGGCACGCUGCUAACCACGCGUCACCUCUGAGGAGCUCACAGACCAACAUUCCUCUGGAGGAGGGAGCAGGUUUUGAGGAGGCCUAGGUUUGCAGUCUGCAGAGCUAUCUACAGGGCUGGUCCGAGACCCCUGAAAAGAAACCGGAGAAGCCUGCUGACAAAAGACUGGAAUUCUGGUAUCUCUUUUGUUUUCACCCAAGUCUGUGGCCACUGACAUUCCUCUUUUCCACCACGGGUGGAUAAUAAGCCCCCUUCUCAGGAAUCGAAAUGCUCUUAUACAUUUUAAUGUGACCUUAGACAGCGCUGUUCAGAAAUCACAGGCCCAUCUGACUACACUUGAGGUUGAAUUGAGCUAAUGGUAUUCACCUCAUCUUUAGAUGCAAAAUUGGAAGAUAAAAAGACCUUGAUGUGAAAAGCAGGGGGGGAUGUGAGGGAGGGGAGGUGGACGGGUUGCGGGGGGCAGGAGGGGGGAAGCAGAUUAGAGAUACUGCUUAAAAAUCACGUGAUUGUGCAUUGAUAACGAAAUGUCUCCUCUUUCCCAAAUCCCCCAUGGGCUCGAGAGAUGUCCUUAUUCUUUUAUUUUUAACGAUAGAAUCUUUUUAUUCCUGAGCUGGGGAAAUUUGAAUGUUGCUGCAUAUGUGGCCAGGAGAUACAUUGACCUUUAGCAAAUCUUAUUUUAAAAAACCCAGAUUGAACAGUUAUUGCAAUAUUUCAGCCCUGUAAGAUGAAAAGAGAGAGAGAGAGAGAGGAGAGGAGAGAGAGAGCGCCUUCUUCCUCCGUAAUCAGAUGUGGAUUAAAUUUAUUAAAGAUGCUGUGUCUCCUUUUAAAUGACUGGCAACCCUCUUUCUGAAUUAUCAGGAGCUGGCUGGAGACAUGGCAC
This 967-nucleotide long non-coding RNA is filed under the name Macaca mulatta (Rhesus monkey). RNAcentral describes it as "lncRNA (ENSMMUG00000054917.1)". The record is from RNAcentral. Lineage: Eukaryota; Metazoa; Chordata; Mammalia; Primates; Cercopithecidae.